Molecule: long non-coding RNA, 7726 nt
Filed under: Hordeum vulgare
Lineage: Eukaryota; Viridiplantae; Streptophyta; Magnoliopsida; Poales; Poaceae
Description: long non-coding RNA (HVUL_LNC008751)
Source: RNAcentral
CGCAUCUCGUCAUUUCGCAAGAAUGGAUAUCAUUACAAGUACAUGUACUGAAAAUAUGAGUAUAUGGAAUUGGCUUACACUCGCCACAAGCUACAUCAGACUCACAUCAGUACAAUACAUAAACAUCAUGAAGAAGAGCAGGCUCCGACUACGGACGAAAAACAAACGACAAAAUAACGACGUCCAUCCUUGCUAUCCCAGGCUACCGGUCUGGAACCCAUCCUAGAUCGACGAAGAAGAAGAAGAAGAAACUCCAAAUGAACAAUCAUCGUGCUCACAUCUCAAAAUCACUUUACCUGUACCUACAACUGGUGUUGUAGUAAUCUGUGAGCCAUAGGGGACUCAACUAUCUCAUUUCCAAAGGUAUAAAGACUAGUAAAGCUUAAUCGGUGAGCUAUGUUAAGUGGUGAGGCUGCAGCAAGCGACUAAGCAUUUAUUUAGUGGCUAACUUACGAGUACAAGAAUAAAGAGGUUGGAAGAUCUACGCACAGCGGAAGUGAACUACUGAUGAUCAAAUGAAUGACCCUGAACACCUACUUAUGUCAAACAUAACCCCACCAUGUCCUCGAUAGGAGAAGGAGCUCACGAAAGAGACAAUCAUGGUUACACACUCAGUUGACAUAUUUUAAUUAAGUUAACUUCAAGUUAUCUAGAUCCGGAUGUUAAACAAAGCUUCCACGUUGCCACGUAACUGCAGGCACGACUUUCCGAAAGAUUUAACCCUGUAGGGGUGCUCCAACUACUCCAUCACAAACUACCACACGCUCCGACGAAAUGACCUCGAUCAGGGAAACCCGUGAUUUCCUCGAUUCCAUUGGAAAACCUCAACCUCGAGUUAGCUCGAAGCAUCCUUGGAAUCCCUCGCACAAGAUGUUCGAUAAAGGUAAAACAAUUCCAGCAAGGCCGCCCGGCGUGUCGACGAACCUGAUAGGAGCCGCUAUCUCGUUCUCAGGACACGACGGAUAAGCACAGCGUACGGUGGCCUGAUAGACAUCAGCCGAGUUGCCCCGGGUUGGCUCCGCAAACGGCUCUGUUUUGGACCAGCACCAUUAGCACUGGCCCUCCAUGUAUUAUGUUGAAUUAUUCCUCGGGUAGCGCUAACUCCCUAUGUUUUUCAGUAUUAACAAAGUUAUUAUGUUGGGAAAAUAUAGUACCAAUGUUGUGCCUUGCCAGACGAGCUUUAUCCUAAAACGAGAAUCUAGGGGGUCCCCAUAAAAGGCCCAAGCAUGUUAGGAACGCUCAUUUAUGGAACAUAACACCAGUAGCCGAAACUAAGGGGGCAAAGGUGGAACAAAACACCAUGGUAGAAAGGCCGAGCCUUCCACCUUUUACCAAGUAUAUAUGUGCAUUAAAUUAAAUAGCAAUUACUAUGGUGAUAUAACAAGGAACCCCUGUUAUCACAUGGAAGCAACUGCACCUGCAACUAGCAACGCUAACACAUGGUUAAGCAAGCGGUAACAUAGCCAAUCAGUGGUUUGCUAGGUUGUGAACAUGUUGAAGGUUUUCAUGUCAAUGUUGGGAGGCUGAUAUUUAACAGGUGGUAGGCAGCGAGACAUAAAGAUAGAAACUAUAAAACUAGCAUGGCAAUGAUAGUAAUGUUAUCUAGGGAAAUGUUCAUCUUGCCUGAGAUCCCACUAGGCAGAAGAAUGACUCCGUGAAGCAGACGAACUAAUGCAGUCGAACGGAUCCUCACUUUCCGACACGCUUGCGGAACUCUAGCGAGACGACGCAAACCGGAAACAAGAAUCAACACACGAUAUUCAUCAUACGAUGCACAACACAUGUGAUGCAUGAACGGUAUCAAUUAUGCACGUAUGACAUGGCAAUUCAGUCAAUCAAACACUACACAUUUAGUGAAGCUCAAUAUGCAACGAGUUGCAUAUUGACGAAACUCCACAUACGAAUUAUUUAGUUCACUCUUGUUUAGGUACACGGCAAUAUUAUAAGUUGUUAUACAUGGCAAGAGAUGUAGCGUAAUUAAACUACCUACCUAGGCAUUUUAAAUGAGGCCGGAAACGACAUAUAGCAUCUCCGGGAUGACCCCGUACAUUAAUUUAUAAUUCUGUCCAGAUCUGAACUAACACGUUUUAAUAUUUUUUAAACAGCAAAAUAAAGCGGUUCACGUGAAAAUACACGUCGUUCUAGUCCAUUUACAUAUAUGAACAUCUCCAAAGGAACUACGGUUCAAAACAUAUGAUCACCGCAAGAUAUGAUGGCAUGAAUGCAAUAUGUAUGCAAUGACAGUCAUAACCAUCCCAAAACAUACAAAUAACAAGAUAAUAUGAACCUACACAAGAUUCUAAACAAGUUUCAUAUAGGACACGAUCAAAACGGAGCAUCGGUUCAACAAAUACAAGCUACACAAGAAAUAGUCAUAAUCUGCCAAAAACAGCAACAUGGCAUUUUCUACACCCAAAACAACAAGCUACAUAAAUCUAAAAUGCUCAAACAAGGCAUGAGACAGUAGUAGUCAAGAUGCACUUCAACACCCUACUAAAAAUAACUAGCAUGGAAUCAUGGAUCACUAGGAAAAGAACUCACAAAAUGGCAUCUCACACACAGUUUCAGACUAGGAGAAAAUCACACUUUGACAGUGCAGUUUUCGAUCUGAAGGCAUAUUGACAACAACAAAACUAUAUGCUACAUGGCAUACAAUGGCAUGAAAAUUUACAUCAUGCUAGAGAUUCUUAAGGACUACAAAUAACUACAUUGCACCAACCUCAAAGGAGUUGUAGAUCACUAGGAAAACUCAUGGCAACACAACAACAAAAUACAAUAGAUUUCAGACUUAGAAAUAUUUCAGGAUCUCCAAAUCAGCACUAUUUUCUAGCAUGUUGACAACAAGAAAACAACACCUAAACAUGGAUUUCUAUUGCAACCAAAAUUACCAGGGGCUAGCAUGCAUAUCCAAGGGCAUAUCUCUAGUUCACAACUCAUUCAUAUCAUGAACGGAUUAAAUCCCACAAAAUAAACAAAAGGUCAACAUGGAAAAAUAUCAUGCACACAAACUUACUCAGAAGGCAAAACUAAAUGAAGAGUUAAAUUCUAUGAAUUUUUCUACCGCCAAAACAUAUAUAAUAUGUGGGGUUCGAAAAAUAAACUAGCGCCACACAUACAUGCGAGAGUAUGUCCUAAACACAACAUAGCAAACUAGCGAGGGAACGUAUAUGCAAAAAUGCAAACAACUAUUAUAAAAUACACGGCAAAUCCUUACAAACAACAUGAACAUUUUAUCUACGGGAUUUGAACAAUCCGGACAUGCACAAAAAAUCUAUGGAAUAUAAAACAUAUUAGGACAACAUGCAAAACUAGGCAAACAGCGGGUCAAACCACUCCAAACAUGCAUGCAAGAUGCAAAAUAUUAUUCUUCGCGAAAAACUACACGAGUUACAUACAUAAUACGUUGCGAUCGGAUGCACGGUUUAAUAUUUACGGGCGUUUGAAGUAUCUAAUAUCCCUGAAAUUAAUAAAUCCGAAAAAUCUUUCAAAAAUACUAUCGAACCUUAUUGCCUAACGGGCCUAAACAAAGCAUGCGCUAAUCAACUAAGCUGCGCCGGGGUGAUGGAUAGGGGACUCGGGGUUCUCACCUUAGCGGGCCAUGGCCCAAGGGGGGGGGGGGGGGGGGGUCUGGGCCGGGGCGGCUGCGGGGCCCAAGCGGGGAGGAGCUGCGGUCGUCUCCCACGCGAGGCGAGGUCGCGACUACGGCCAGGAGGCCGAAAGCGGCAUGCUCCGGCGAGAGGCGUCUGGUGCAGGGAACAGCGGUGGGGACGACGGAUCCGGGUGCAGCAAGGCCGGAUUCGACCAUUUCUUGCAGCUACAGGCCACGAGGUGAUGACGGCGACUCUGCUCCAUGCGGGGCGAGAUCCGGCAGCUCGUCGGAUCCGGUGUGGAGGCGCAUGGCGGCGGGGCACGGUGGCGUGAUCCGGCGGCGGGCACUGGUUCCCGGCGAGGAAGGUAUCUUACGGCGAGGCAGCCAUGGGAGGCUCGCCUGGGGAGAUCGGGACCCUCCCGGUCCAGAUCUGAGCGGCGGCGCUGCGUUUCGGGGCAGGGGUAGGCGGCUCGACGCGAUGGGCUCGGCGGGCCUCUCGCAGGCUCACGGGUCCGGCGGCGACACUGUGGAGGUGGGAGCGGCUGUGGCUGUCGGGUGGCGCGGAUCCCGAGGUAGGGAUAGGGAUAGGCACAAAAUUGACAUGGGAGGGCCUAUUUAUUGAUAAAACGGGCUAGGGUUAGCAGAAUUUCGCCUCGGUUUCUACCGCGCGAUCUAAAUCGGACGGUCUCGAACGCGGGGACCGGCUAAGUGGGUGUAUAGAGUAGGCUAGCCGGAGAAGAGAGGGAAAACAGGCACCCGACAACGUGAUUUAAAAAUACCGAAAAACGUCCGACGAAUAACCAAAGACGGUGCCGCUACGGUCGACCGUUCGGGUACCAGACGGACUCCGAUUGCGACGAAAUUUGGCAGGCGGCCUACCUAUAUAGAAAUAGGACCGCACGCCAAGUUUCAACUCAAUCCAAGAAUACUUUACACAUUUUAAAAACAAGAUUUAAACGAUGUCGCAGGCGCGUGCGAGUGUGGUUGGUCUCAAAACGGUCAAUGACGUACACGGAGAGAACCGGCAACUGAUAACAGAUGCAGGUUUUGAAAACUGGCGGCAACGGAGUGCCAAUGCAAUGGGGAUGAUGCGCAUGAUGUGAUGAUGAUGAGGCAAAUAAAAAUAAUCACACGACGAAAACGGAAAAGAGGGGAAUCUUCUGGAGAGUCGGUCUCGGGCUGUCACAACUCUCUUACACUACAAGAGGAUCUCGACCCGAGAUCCAAGAAUGAAAGGGGAAGAGGAAGAGAAAGAACGAGAGGUAAAACUUAAUUGCUUCUUUGACAAACGAGUGAAACCAAUGAUCCUUGAAGGUUACAAAGAGAUGAAGAAUGAUAUGAGGAGCAACCAAGAAUUCAAACAAAAUUUUGGCAGCACUUCGACAGGAAAAGAGGACAAAAUUAGAUAAGAUAGAAGAACUAGACAAGAUUUACAACAAACAACUAAAGUGGUAAGCAAGGGAACAAUAUGAUCUUGAAAAUACAAAAUGAUAGAUUGAAGAGAGCAACAUCACAAAGCCUCCGUUACAAGAAUAGAACUAGAUCUUGGCAAGAAGGAACGAAGAACAAAAUGACAACUACUACCACAAGAAUCUUGAAUAACACCUUGGGAAAGAAGAGAUCUUGAGCCGCCUAAUAGACAACUUGAACAAGGCACUAGAAUAAUAAAGAUACGAACAAAGAGACAACAAUUGAGAAUAAUUUGAGAACGAAAGGUGAAAGCUGAGAACGAAGAAAUCUUCUGAAAUGAUGGCCUUCGGAGGAUCAAGAAUGAAAACAACUCAGAAAAGCACCGAAUAGCAAGAAGAGAUUCUCAUGAUUGGGAACAAUUCAAGAUGAUGCCACAAAGCUGAAAUGAUGAAUCUUCAAGAGAAUGGACCAAGAUUUGAGAGAAACACUCCUUCAGUCUUCCAAACUGAAAAUGAUGAGGAGAACACCACAAAGAAUAACUAAGACACUCCGGAAUAAAGAAUAUGCAAGGUUGAGCCAAAUAUGAGAAUUAAUUCAAAUUGAUCGUGAAGAAGGAAUAUAACUGAUGAAAUUCAUACUUACGUCAUAGUUGAGAAGAAUUAGAGAGCACCGGAAAGAUUACAAGAGUCAGAUAAGAUCCUUGGAAAAGCCUGUGGGUUAUCGGCCCACUCAAAGAAAGCACCAUUGAAAAUAUUGCUCAGAAAGAGAGAUAUUGCACCGGUACAAAUGAAAACUAGAUGAGGUGAGGCCCUUGAAAUAAUUGAAAGGAUUUAAAACAAGAACUUCUGAGAUAUCUUCAACACUCGGAUAGAAAAGAGAGGAAUGAAUAAACAAGAUAGGCUGAUAAGAAUUUCCAACAUAGGAAAGAAUUUAAAAGAUGAAAAAGGAUAUGAUGAACACGGAUAACUGAAUUGAAUUCACCGAAAAAGAUAACAAGAUUGAAGAAAUGAUGAACUAGAAACUCGUGAGAAUCUUCACAAAGAAUCACCGGAUAAGAGAGAAAAUAAAAAGAUAACCGAAGCAACAAUUAAAAGAAGACACUUGGAUGAUAAUCUAAUCACUGAAGAAAAGGGUGGGAGGGAGGGGAAAAACAAAGACAACUUGGAACAGAUGAGAUGUACUCCGGAAGGAAAUGAGAGAUUGAUCUUGCAAAUAUUGAAGAAGAUUGAAUAACUUGAGGAGGAGCGCACCGGUUGAAAAAUAAUAGACAUAACAACUCCGGUUGACAAGAAUUGAUAAGACAAUUUGAUUUGAGCAAAAGAAUUAGCAUUCCAUAAAAAUAUGAGAAUACCUCUUGGAAAAGAUAUGAAAUCACCAUUUGACAUCGAAGGAACUCGAAUUACCAUAUUCUAACAAAACAAAGGAUGCGGCUUGCAAAUUAGCCAAAACAAACUCAUGAGAGAGAUUCCGCUCGAUAUUUUCGUGGAUGAGGCUCGCACGGGCUCUAUCCUACAGUAGCCAUCAUGUGCAAGACAGUGCACACGACAUACGAAGCGUCCUCGAGUCGUACCAAGCUACAAGGCUCUUUAAGACACAACGAGAACCACUGUAAAACGACCGUGAACAAACGUAUCCACUAGAUGUCGAACCCCAACCUAACAUCAUGCAUUUGUUGGAAGAUUGUCCUAUAAGUAAGUACUUCAAUUCCCACCUAAGGACUCCCGAAAUUUCUGGUCAUGCAAUCUGGCCCACGGAUACAAGAAGUAAUAUCACUCAACUCCUAUACUAACCCGUCCAGUGUAUCCCAUCCGUCAACACAUAACCAGAAUCUCAGAAACUUGUCUAUCUCAGAUCCUCGUAAGCACAACAAUACAAAGUAUGGCGAUACAUCCGGAUCUAUCUCACCAGUAAUGGGGAAGCCGGACUACUCUCGCCACUACUAGUAUUGAAGCAAUUUCAAUCAUCCUUCGUCCUGAGAUACUAAGAAAUCUGAAUGAUAAUGAUGUGCUCGAGAAUCCCCUGGAGUUCAACUCCCCGAAAGAAAUCAAGUCAGGCAGGAGGCACCAAGAGACAACUCCGUCACAUAGACAUCGUAUAGAUUCCAAAAAUAUUUGCGUGAUCCUAGAAUUUUUUUGAGUGAGAAGAGGAGCAGAAUUUAAAUUAUUACGUCAAGAUUCCUCACCAGAGCAUAGAAGAGGAGAAAAAGGAAUCCUACUCUCUGAUAUAUAACUAGACUCAAAGUAGUUUUUCACUAGAGUCGACUCUGCCAGGUUUGAUCAAUCAAGGGGGCUCCUAGGUCGCUACUACUCUAAUACCAACUUGUAACGCCCAAUAUGCGACUCUAUCCUUAUUUUGGCACGACGGCCUCAACAGGGAUAGAAGCGCAUCUCGUCGUUUUGCAUGAAUGGAUAUCAUUACAAGUACAUGUACUGAAAAUAUGAGUAUAUGGAAUUGGCUUACACUCGCCACAAGCUACAUCAGAGUCACAUUAGUACAAUACAUAAACAUCAUGAAGAAGAGCAGGGUCCGACUACGGACGAAAAACAAAUGACAAAAUAACGACGUCUAUCCUUGCUAUCCCAGGCUGCAAGCCUGAAACCCAUCCUAGAUCGACGAAGAAGAAGGAGAAGAAACUCCAAAUGAACAAUCAUCGCGCUCACGUCUUAAAAUCACUUUACCUGUACCUACAACUGGUGUUGUAGUAAUCUGUGAGCCAUAGGGGACUCA